AUUGAACGCUGGCGGCAUGCCUUACACAUGCAAGUCGAACGGCAGCACGGGUGCUUGCACCUGGUGGCGAGUGGCGAACGGGUGAGUAAUACAUCGGAACAUGUCCUGUAGUGGGGGAUAGCCCGGCGAAAGCCGGAUUAAUACAGCAUACGAUCUACGGAUGAAAGCGGGGGACCUUCGGGCCUCGCGCUAUAGGGUUGGCCGAUGGCUGAUUAGCUAGUUGGUGGGGUAAAGGCCUACCAAGGCGACGAUCAGAAGCUGGUCUGAGAGGACGACCAGCCACACUGGGACUGAGACACGGCCCAGACUCCUACGGGAGGCAGCAGUGGGGAAUUUUGGACAAAGGGCGAAAGCCUGAUCCAGCAAUGCCGCGUGUGUGAAGAAGGCCUUCGGGUUGUAAAGCACUUUUGUCCGGAAAGAAAUCCUUGGCCCUAAUACGGUCGGGGGAUGACGGUACCGGAAGAAUAAGCACCGGCUAACUACGUG
RNAcentral lists this ribosomal RNA (486 nucleotides) under uncultured bacterium. Its description in RNAcentral is "partial 16S ribosomal RNA". It matches the Rfam family "Bacterial small subunit ribosomal RNA", at positions 30 to 507 of the family's 1533-position model. The record is from RNAcentral.